GGCUUUGAUGGUUGGAAUCGGUGAUGUGAAGGAAGGCACGUACGAGAUUGAUCAUGCAAGCGUGCUUUGAUGGUUAGCUAUACAUUGCAUGCGUGUAUGCAUUCUAUUGUUUCUGUGUUUGCACAUUCGUACUCAGAUGUAGCAUUGCGAACAAGCCGCUUUGCAUAUAGUAAUAUUCAAGAGCUAGAUCGAUGCGGAGAACUGGAGAUCAGAUGGACAUCACCUCCUCUCGAGCACUCCUGCAUGUGACCGAUAUACUCGCCCAGUCCGCGCACAAGAACCAACUAUGCUGCAUUGCUGCCCGGUUUGCAUGGGCGCACGCCAAGGGAGAAAGAGAAGAGGAGAGAUAGAUGAAGAAGAUGGAGAUGACACAUAGGCCCAUGUUGGCAUUCAGAGAAAUGGUCGAUCCGGAUUGUGCUUACAAACAUGUCUAGGAUUAGAUGAGGGUUGAAAACAACCGGGAUUAAAGAGAACAGGGUACAAACUUCAGGGAUUUAGAGGUGAGGGUUCAUUUUUGACAAGCUCUACAAUCUAAAGGUUUAAAAUAGACUUCACUCCUAUCGGUAUGCACCAUCAGAUGCGUCCUGUAGCAAUGAACGUAUGCAAUGUGUACCGACAAUAAAAAAGCUGCGUCCUGUACCAAUGAAACGUACCGACGAUAAAAAAGCUAUAACUAGCGACAAAAAAAGCUUCA
Molecule: long non-coding RNA, 694 nt
Filed under: Hordeum vulgare
Lineage: Eukaryota; Viridiplantae; Streptophyta; Magnoliopsida; Poales; Poaceae
Description: long non-coding RNA (HVUL_LNC017530)
Source: RNAcentral